This 89-nucleotide non-coding RNA is filed under the name pig gut metagenome. RNAcentral's name for it is "TPP riboswitch (THI element)". It matches the Rfam family "TPP riboswitch aptamer (THI element)", at positions 6 to 93 of the family's 105-position model. From Rfam's summary of the family: Vitamin B(1) in its active form thiamin pyrophosphate (TPP) is an essential coenzyme that is synthesised by coupling of pyrimidine and thiazole moieties in bacteria. The previously detected thiamin-regulatory element, thi box was extended, resulting in a new, highly conserved RNA secondary structure, the THI element, which is widely distributed in eubacteria and also occurs in some archaea. The record is from RNAcentral.
AAUUGCUAGGGGAGCUUAAGGCUGAGAUUGAAGAGCUAAUCUUCUAACCCUUACUACUUGAAUCGGAUAAUACCGACGUAAGGAAGCAG